This 78-nucleotide transfer RNA is filed under the name Phycisphaerales bacterium. RNAcentral describes it as "tRNA-Pro". It matches the Rfam family "tRNA". From Rfam's summary of the family: Transfer RNA (tRNA) molecules are approximately 80 nucleotides in length. Their secondary structure includes four short double-helical elements and three loops (D, anti-codon, and T loops). Further hydrogen bonds mediate the characteristic L-shaped molecular structure. tRNAs have two regions of fundamental functional importance: the anti-codon, which is responsible for specific mRNA codon recognition, and the 3' end, to which the tRNAs corresponding amino acid is attached (by aminoacyl-tRNA synthetases). tRNAs cope with the degeneracy of the genetic code in two manners: having more than one tRNA (with a specific anti-codon) for a particular amino acid; and 'wobble' base-pairing, i.e. permitting non-standard base-pairing at the 3rd anti-codon position. Lineage: Bacteria; Pseudomonadati; Planctomycetota; Phycisphaerae; Phycisphaerales. The record is from RNAcentral.
CGGGGAGUAGCUCAGCUUGGCUAGAGCGCUGCGUUCGGGACGCAGANNAGGUCGCAAGUUCAAAUCUUGUCUCCCCGA